Molecule: long non-coding RNA, 1155 nt
Filed under: Fragaria vesca (wild strawberry)
Lineage: Eukaryota; Viridiplantae; Streptophyta; Magnoliopsida; Rosales; Rosaceae
Description: long non-coding RNA (FVES_LNC003459)
Source: RNAcentral
ACCAUCUUUUUGCAGCAUAAUCUUUGGAAGGGAGUGAAUGGUAAGUUGGUUGCUUCAUGAGGGUGAUUACACGCUUUCUAAGGUGAUGUUAACUUUGGUGGAGAAAGCUCGCUUCUCUUCUUAAUAUGAAGUGCAAAAGAACCGGGAUGUCCUUGCUGUAACUACACGUUUCUAAUUUGCGAAGAAUAAAAUGGUCCAAGUGUUUUAAACAAGUUGAUAGAUAACAAGUUGAUAGAUAAGUCACUAUAGAAUGUAUACAAACUGAGAAGCUAUAUUUGAUUUUAAAAAUAAAAACAGUGUUGGAAUAGUAAAUGAAGCCACAUGCUAUGGAAAUGGAAAGGGUUCCCUCCCUCCUUCACAUCUGUUACUCAUGACUUGGAAGGCAAAAACAGAAGUAAACUUCUGCAGCAGUGGUAAUCUCUUAAGCCUAAGACCGCACAACGGCCAUACACAAUAAAUUGCUAGUGCAAAUAAAUGCAGCUAGCCAGAAUGAAAGACUAGCUAAAGAUCAACAAUGUGAUCAGAAGCAGCAGAAGGCGCAAUCUGUAAGCAUUCAUACGAACUUGCAGCAAAUAUACAUCAAAGGAAAGUCAUCCAGAUAUCUAAUAAGAUUGUUUCUCCUGUCCAACGCGAAUGAUAUAUAAAGUUGUCCCCAUAAAGAUAAAAAUAAUAAUCGACCCUAAAAUUAAUCAGAUGACUAAAUCCAUCUUAGAAUCUCCCAAUCGUCAUGUAGUGAAUACAAUUUCCCCUUCCUAGCUACAUUUCUACCUUCCCUUGGCAAGGAAAUCAAUUUCAUCUCGUGUCCUUCCAGUAAGAAGAUAAAAAUACAGGUAACAAAAAUAAAACUUGUAGUUUUUCUUAACUUUCAUCCUGAUUAUCCAAAUGAAUGAAAGUUUCCUUACAUGGCAUCCCUCUGCCAGAGGCAUUAUAUGAGUGAUUUGUUUGGGAUCUUUUUGUUUGUUCCAAGAGAUAGAAUGGAUAAACUUUAGUCCUUGCGCAGUUAAUGAACACAAAGGUUUGGUUCAAGAAUAUUUGCUCUCCAUUUUGAGCUCGAGACCUUGGGAAUUAAUCAAACUCCAAUCUAAUUUCAAGCCCUAUUGGUACUGUAAUCGAACACAAAGGUUUGGUUCAAGAAUAUUUGCUCUCCAUUUUGAG